This 229-nucleotide ribosomal RNA is filed under the name uncultured bacterium. RNAcentral describes it as "partial 16S ribosomal RNA". It matches the Rfam family "Bacterial small subunit ribosomal RNA", at positions 524 to 751 of the family's 1533-position model. The record is from RNAcentral.
UACGUAGGGGGCAAGCGUUGUCCGGAUUUAUUGGGCGUAAAGAGCGUGUAGGCGGUUUUACAGGUCCGCUGUGAAAACUCGAGGCUCAACCUCGAGCUGUCGGUGGAAACCGUAAGGCUAGAGUCCGGAAGAGGAGAGUGGAAUUCCUGGUGUAGCGGUGAAAUGCGCAGAUAUCAGGAAGAACACCCGUGGCGAAGGCGGCUCUCUGGGGACGGUACUGACGCUGAGA